This 585-nucleotide ribosomal RNA is filed under the name uncultured fungus. RNAcentral describes it as "eukaryotic LSU rRNA". The stretch from base 226 to 379 matches the Rfam family "5.8S ribosomal RNA". Lineage: Eukaryota; Fungi. The record is from RNAcentral.
UUUAGAGGAAGUAAAAGUCGUAACAAGGUCUCCGUAGGUGAACCUGCGGAGGGAUCAUUACACAAAUAUGAAGGCGGGCUGGAACCUCUCGGGGUUACAGCCUUGCUGAAUUAUUCACCCUUGUCUUUUGCGUACUUCUUGUUUCCUUGGUGGGUUCGCCCACCACUAGGACAAACAUAAACCUUUUGUAAUUGCAAUCAGCGUCAGUAACAAAUUAAUAAUUACAACUUUCAACAACGGAUCUCUUGGUUCUGGCAUCGAUGAAGAACGCAGCGAAAUGCGAUAAGUAAUGUGAAUUGCAGAAUUCAGUGAAUCAUCGAAUCUUUGAACGCACAUUGCGCCCGCCAGUAUUCUGGCGGGCAUGCCUGUUCGAGCGUCAUUUCAACCCUCAAGCUCAGCUUGGUGUUGGGACUCGCGGUAACCCGCGUUCCCCAAAUCGAUUGGCGGUCACGUCAAGCUUCCAUAGCGUAGUAAUCAUACACCUCGUUACUGGUAAUCGUCGCGGCCACGCCGUUAAACCCCAACUUCUGAAUGUUGACCUCGGAUCAGGUAGGAAUACCCGCUGAACUUAAGCAUAUCAAUAAG